Molecule: small RNA, 870 nt
Filed under: Pongo abelii (Sumatran orangutan)
Lineage: Eukaryota; Metazoa; Chordata; Mammalia; Primates; Hominidae
Description: processed transcript
Source: RNAcentral
CUGCUAUGGUGGACUGUGAGACUCAGUGCACUGUCCUCCUCCCAGCGACCCCACGCUGGACCCCCUGCCGGACCCUCCACCCUUCGGCCCCCAAGCUUCCCAGGGGCUUCCUUUGGACUGGCCUGUCCCUGCUCAUCCAUUCUCCUGCCACCCCCAGACCUCCUCAGCUCCAGGAGUCUGACAGCACCCUUCUCGUUGGCCAGGCAUAACCGGAGGAGACCAGACUGUGCCAUCGCAAUGCACCCGGAUGGUUUUGCACAUGGCCCUGGUGGGGGACAUAGGGGUGGGGCUGAGGAGGAGGCGAGACUCACGGGACAGGCCUGCGUCUGGUCCAGGAUGUCCAGGGUGCCGAGACUUUCACUAUCACAGGUAAGGCCCUGGCAGCCUCCCUGCCCUCCACCUGUGUUGCUUCCUCACAGUAAAUGCCCUGGACUUGCUUUCAGCAUUGUACAGCCUCUUGCUUUUCCCCAUAUCACCUCCUACAAGGCCUGCUGUGGCUGCUGCAGGCCACCCUGAGGGGUGCCUGCUUCUUCCCCACCCUGACUUUCCGAAGGCGCAGUGGAAGGUGAUGGUCCUGUGAGUAAGGCCCUGAAGUCUGCAGUAAGCCACUUUCCCUCAAUGCUGUCUCCCUUUCCGAAGGGAAAGCCACAGCCCUGGCUAAUGUUGGAGGAAGGGGAGGCCUGGACAGCUGCCUGAACCCAAGCUGGGCUCUGGGGGGCAGCAGGGCCAACAGACAUGGGAUGUGAGCCACACUGAUAAUUUCAGUCUUCUAGUACAUGUUAGGAGGUGAUACGGUUUGGAUGUGUGUCCCCACCCAAAUCUCAUAUGGAAUUGUAAUUCCCAGUGUUGGAGGUGGGGCCAGCUGGGAGG